Molecule: ribosomal RNA, 721 nt
Filed under: uncultured bacterium
Lineage: Bacteria
Description: bacterial SSU rRNA
Rfam family: Bacterial small subunit ribosomal RNA
Source: RNAcentral
UUUUUACGUACCCUGGCGGCACGCCUAACACAUGCAAGUCGAACGCAGUAGCAAUACUGAGUGGCAAACGGGUGAGUAUAAUGUGGGAAUCUGCCUUUUGGUUUGGAAUAACACGGGGAAACUUGUGCUAAUACCGAAUAAGCCUUUACAGGGAAAGUUUUAAUGCCAAAAGAUGAGCCCGCACUUGAUUAGCUAGUUGGUAAGGUAAAAGCUUACCAAGGCAAUGAUCAAUAGCUGUUCUUAGAGGAAGACCAGCCACAUUGGGACUGAGACACGGCCCAGACUCCUACGGGAGGCAGCAGUGGGGAAUCUUGCACAAUGGGGGAAACCCUGAUGCAGCGAUGCCGCGUGAGUGAAGAAGGCCUUUGGGUUGUAAAACUCUUUCGUCGGGGAAGAAAAUGACUGUACCCGAAUAAGAAGGUCCGGCUAACUUCGUGCCAGCAGCCGCGGUAAUACGAAGGGACCUAGCGUAGUUCGGAAUUACUGGGCUUAAAGAGCUCGUAGGUGGUUAAAAAAGUUGAUGGUGAAAUCCCAAGGCUCAACCUUGGAACUGCCAUCAAAACUUUUUAGCUAGAGUGUGAUAGAGGUAAGUGGAAUUUCUAGUGUAGAGGUGAAAUUCGUAGAUAUUAGAAAGAACACCAAAUGCGAAGGCCACUUACUGGGUCACUACUGACACUGAGGAGCCGAAGCAUGGGUAGCCGAAAGGAAUAGAUACCCUCCU